Molecule: long non-coding RNA, 2207 nt
Organism: Populus nigra (black poplar)
Lineage: Eukaryota; Viridiplantae; Streptophyta; Magnoliopsida; Malpighiales; Salicaceae
Exons: 3
Source: RefSeq, a predicted model, not a curated record
GUAAAAUCACGGAAGCAGAAUCUAUAUUCAAUGAGAUGAAGAUGGCUGAUGUUUUCCUGAUGUUUGUAAUAUAUACCAUGAUGAUACCUGCUUAUAUAUAAUGCUGCAGAACUUUGGAAAAAGGCAUGUGCUCUUCUUCAAGAAAAGGAGUACGAUAUCUAACCAGACACUACUGCAUGUUCAGCGCUGAUGAGAGCUUUCAAUAAAGGAGGCGAUCCAUCGAAGGUUCUCAUUCUGGCAGAGUUUAUGAGAGAUUGUAUCAUCAUGUAGCCUAUUACGAGAUUGGAGAAUAACGACUGACUUGAUUAAAUUGAUGGAGCCUUCAUUCUCUGCUGUUUCAAUUGGACUUCUGAAUCCGCUCCUGCAUCUUCUGGUGAAAAGUGGAAAAAUUGAGUCUAUAAUGAAGGUAUUCGAAUAUUUUCACAUGUCUAUAUGAUAUUAUGAUAGUUGUGUUUGCCAAGAACACGGCAUUGAAACCAGUGAACAAUUUAAUUAUUCCUUUGUUUGAGCUCUUGUUGAACAUCUUAUAUAGUAUACAUCCUAAAUCUCCGUGGAUAUCAGUAGUUGGAGCUAAUUUUAUUCAUAAUGUUUUAUAAACUAACCUUGCUCUACAUUAUACAAGAUUAUAUAGGAUCAGGUGCUGAUAUUAAUUACAGCACUUGCUCGAUCUUGUUGAAGAAUCGUUUGGCUGUUGGGAAUUGGAGGAAAUAUAUCGAGGUAACUUAUAAUCAAAUUUCUGUAACUUUAUACGAUAUAGAAUUUCAUAACUUUAUAGACAAUAAAUGUUGUGGAUGGUGUUCAUUUCAUCAAUUUCUUAUUAUUAGAUAUGGUAGAUAUCAACCCUGGGCUUUCCUCAGGACCUUCUUACACUCAUCUGAAGGAGGGACCUGGGGCACCACACGAUGCCUGUUUUAGAAGUUUUGAAAAUCAAUGCGUCUGUAAGUUAUACGAGAAAUGCGUUGGAAGUACUGGCGCCACAGCAUAGUGAUUAAAGCAUGCUAUUUGACUGCAAUAGAGUUGGUUACUCUUUUCGAACUUUUUAUGAAAUUCCUUUUUAAGAAUUUUCCCAUACGAGGAAAGUGGUGCUUUAGUAAUCAAAGUAGUAGCUAAUUAUAUCUUUUGAAAUAUGUUGUUCAUCAUGAACUUUGGUGACUGCUAGCUAAAUUGCUUGUAUAUAUAAAAAUCUUGCUUGUAUAUGCUGUCCGCAUUACGGACACAAAGUGGAAGGACUAGCCACUUUGCCCCUUGCUUGUGUUCGUGAAGUUAUUUUGGCUAUAAAACUUAGCGACAUGCUAUUCUUGGUUUAAAAUGCAAUUCGAGGUGAUUGGGAAAACUCAGAGAAUUCUAAGUGCAGGUGUUGGGAUGGAUUGAGGAAGCCGGAAUUCAGCCUUCAAAUGGAAUUGUGACGUAUUCUCCUUUGCACAGAAAAGUGAAGCCACAUACGCUUCUAUCAUAGAAGAAAGAGUUGGUAUGCAAAUACUCGUCUCCUGUGCAAGAGAAUCGUGUUUUGGACCAGCACAUGCUUCUAUCUAAUACAAGCGAAAAUAUAUUUCAACCUAGCCAUCUCAUCAUCUACAAGGCUACCUUCAUUGCUCAUCCAUUGGGUUUCUAACUCUUAUUCUGGUCGUUGAUGUUUUGCAGGAUCACUGAGAAUAUUAAUCUGGGAACGAAGUCUCGAAAAGCAAGGUGUGAGCCUUCCCUCCCUACCUUCCUGUAUUCAAAUGGGAAAAAAAUAUUCACCCAUGGCCGGGGAGAGUUUUCUAUGAUAUUGCCAGUCUUAUAUAUCCAAACUGUGGAAGAUGAUCACUUCUGACAUGAUGAGGAAUGGAAGGAAAUUUGAAGUAGGAAAUGUGUUACUGCACUUGUGCUCCUGUUAAAAGUUCAUUGAGCUGGGAAAUGGCAGAGCCCGUCUUCACCAUGUCAAUUUUUCUGAGAGGUGUUCUGCUUUCAAAAAGUUUUUAUACAGGUUAUGGCUGUGAUUAAGGAUGUUGCCAAAGUCAUAUUCAAUUGAAGUAGGGGAUGGAAAUGGCCUAAUGUGAAGAACAAGAGAUGGUGGGAGUGCAAAAUUAAGUCAUUACUUCCAUCAUUUUGACUAUGUGAAUAUGGAGUUAAACACUGGAGUCAAAGAGAUCUACUAUAUUAUUAAGAAAAUAAUAGUAAUAAUAAUAUGGAAAAUAAAUUAGUCGAAUCAACCUUGUAAUUUGGUU